CGCUGGCGGCAGGCCUAACACAUGCAAGUCGAGCGGUAGAGAGGUGCUUGCACCUCUUGAGAGCGGCGGACGGGUGAGUAAUGCCUAGGAAUCUGCCUGGUAGUGGGGGAUAACGCUCGGAAACGGACGCUAAUACCGCAUACGUCCUACGGGAGAAAGCAGGGGACCUUCGGGCCUUGCGCUAUCAGAUGAGCCUAGGUCGGAUUAGCUAGUUGGUGGGGUAAUGGCUCACCAAGGCGACGAUCCGUAACUGGUCUGAGAGGAUGAUCAGUCACACUGGAACUGAGACACGGCCCAGACUCCUACGGGAGGCAGCAGUGGGGAAUAUUGGACAAUGGGCGAAAGCCUGAUCCAGCCAUGCCGCGUGUGUGAAGAAGGUCUUCGGAUUGUAAAGCACUUUAAGUUGGGAGGAAGGGCAUUAACCUAAUACGUUAGUGUUUUGACGUUACCGACAGAAUAAGCACCGGCU
Molecule: ribosomal RNA, 469 nt
Filed under: uncultured bacterium
Lineage: Bacteria
Description: bacterial SSU rRNA
Rfam family: Bacterial small subunit ribosomal RNA
Source: RNAcentral